This 19-nucleotide unclassified non-coding RNA is filed under the name synthetic construct. The record is from RNAcentral.
GUAUCUUUCUGCAGCUUCC